ACGUAACAAAUUAGCUAUUGGUUUUUGCAAUAAUAAAAAAUAACAUAUCAUAAAAUUGUGAUUAAAUUGAAUAAAAAUUAUAAAAACAAAAUAUAAAAUUGUGAUUAAAAUAAAUAGAAAUAUCAUAACCAGGUGCCGAGAAUUGAUGAGAACAUGGUAGGGUGUUCAGUAGGGGAGAACUAAAUACAUUAAUUGGGAUCUCAUUCAACCACCCAACGAGAGCAUCAGAACGACUGAGGGCAUAAAGUAAAAGGGAACUAAGAAGAGCAGCGUUCUCAAAGCCGGAACGACGCCAAAGCCCAACGAACGACGUGCGUGCUCCGAUGUGCACGCAGUGGUGGGGGCAAAUCGUUCCAGCAUCGAGACGCUGCAAAUCUAAACGAUCCUCGAAAUGCUGCUGUACGAUGUCUCGGAGUGAGGAAGACUGAGGUGAUCAAGACCGUAGUAGCUGAGUUUCGACAGCAACAACGAUAUGUUGAUUGAGUCGAAAGCCCGAGAAAAAUCAAGAAGCACUAAUGCUGACACCAUCCCCUGAUCUUGACCCGCAAGAAGGCUAUCCACAACGUCCGCCAAAGCGGUCGCCGUGCUGUGUCCCUUGCGGAAACCUGAUUGUGAACCUGGUAAUAUGUUGUACUUCUCCAAGUAUGUAGUUAGCUGCUUGCAAACUAUUCUCUCUAAGACCUUGGAAAGGCAUGGAAGGAUACUAACAGGUCGAAGAUCCUGCACCGUUGCUGGCUGGUUGGUCUUAGGCAAUGGUGUCACCGCUGCCACCUUCCAGUCCUCGGGAAACAUUCCUUGCUGUAGUGAGCAAUUAAUAAUAGCUGUCAAUGUCUCGAGUGAGUGCGGCAAGGUGAGCAGCAAAGCAUCCAGUGCCAGACCAUCGUUUCCCUGUGCGUUCGACCUCAGCCCCCCAACAACCUCCAGCACCUCCCUGCUAGUUACAGUUUGGAGUGAAAAAACAGCCUUGGCAUUGUACCUAUUAUGCUCAUAAAAAGAUAAUGUAGAAAUCGAUACUUCGUUUGAGCCUGGUAUGUGCAGAAAGUGCUGAUUUAUAACAUUAGGUUCAUUGAACUCUGGUGGCAGCUCAUUAGUCCUCUCAUUAUUUGGAAGCACUGUAUUUUUGAGAUUCUUCCACAGUUUCUUUGAGUUACCUAUGUUAUUAUUUAUAUAUUUUUCAAAGUAACAUUUUUUCUCCCUUUCCAUCGCCUCAAGUACUACCCGUCUCAUUCUUCCGUAACAUUCUUUCAAAUUCGAUGUUUUGAGUUUUUUAUAUUUAUUGUGAUAAUUAUCCCUAAUACGCAUCAUUGUUCUGACAGUGUCCGUUAUCCACGGGUGGGGAGGAUGUUUAAACUUUUUGGUAGUUAUUGGGGUAUGUAAAUCCAUCAAUCCGAUAGUGCAUGAUGUGAAUGCCUGUACCAAAUGGUUAACCUCAUUAAUUUUCCUAAAAUUGUUCCACUGAAUGGCACUGAGGUCCGAAUUCAGCCGUUCAAGCAAAAUGUUCUUAAACGGUCUAUAUGUCACCCACCUAGGUCUUGGUAUGUUUACUUUAAUCUUGACUUCUGCCAGUAUCAUGGCAUGCCCACCUCGAUCUGGUGAGUGCCUAACUGUCAGUUUUGGAACCCGAACAUCCGUGCACACAACAUCUAUUAAAGUGGCACUAUGGUCUGUGAAGUGGGUGGGCUCUUUGACAAUUUGACUUAAAUUCAGACUCUCAAUGAAUUGCGCGAAGGCUCUAUAACCACGGCUGCUGAUAUCAAGGAGAUUGAUGUUGAAGUCUCCCACCAAUAUCAAGCCGUCAGAGUGCGAGAAGGAGGUGACCGAUUCAGUGAUAGCGUCUAGGAAUAUAUUUACGUCUAGCCAGGGUGGUCUAUAUGCAGUUCCCACGACUAUAUUCUGCUGGUGU
Molecule: long non-coding RNA, 1903 nt
Organism: Ostrinia nubilalis (European corn borer)
Lineage: Eukaryota; Metazoa; Arthropoda; Insecta; Lepidoptera; Crambidae
Exons: 4
Source: RefSeq, a predicted model, not a curated record